Molecule: small RNA, 419 nt
Filed under: Pan troglodytes (chimpanzee)
Lineage: Eukaryota; Metazoa; Chordata; Mammalia; Primates; Hominidae
Description: processed transcript
Source: RNAcentral
GGAAAAGGUCCCGGAGAGCUGAGCAGUCAAGAUGUGUGACUUCACCGAAGACCAGACCGCAGAUCUGAUCCCAAGCACUGGGUGAGUUUUAGGUGGUGUGGAGUUCAAGGAGGCCUUCCAGCUGUUUGACCGAACAGGUGAUGGCAAGAUCCUGUACAGCCAGUGUGGGGAUGUGAUGAGGGCCCUGGGCCAGAACCCUACCAACGCCGAGGUGCUCAAGGUCCUGGGGAACCCCAAGAGUGAUGAGAUGAAUGUGAAGGUGCUGGACUUUGAGCACUUUCUGCCCAUGCUGCAGACAGUGGCCAAGAACAAGGACCAGGGCACCUAUGAGGAUUAUGUCGAAGGACUUCGGGUGUUUGACAAGGAAGGAAAUGGCACCGUCAUGGGUGCUGAAAUCCGGCAUGUUCUUGUCACACUGG